This 107-nucleotide small nuclear RNA is filed under the name Lynx canadensis (Canada lynx). RNAcentral also lists the same sequence under 1 other name. The record is from RNAcentral. Lineage: Eukaryota; Metazoa; Chordata; Mammalia; Carnivora; Felidae.
GUGCUCACUUUGGCAGCACAUAUACUAAAAUUGGAACGAUACAGAGAAGUUUAGCAUGGCCCCUGUGCAAGGAUGACAUACAAAUUCGUGAAGUGUUCCAUAUUUUU